This 433-nucleotide ribosomal RNA is filed under the name uncultured bacterium. RNAcentral's name for it is "partial 16S ribosomal RNA". It matches the Rfam family "Bacterial small subunit ribosomal RNA", at positions 29 to 507 of the family's 1533-position model. The record is from RNAcentral.
AACGAACGCUGGCGGCAUGCCUAACACAUGCAAGUCGAACGAAGGCUUCGGCCUUAGUGGCGCACGGGUGCGUAACGCGUGGGAAUCUGCCCUUUGGUUCGGAAUAACAGCUGGAAACGGCUGCUAAUACCGGAUGAUGACGAAAGUCCAAAGAUUUAUCGCCAGAGGAUGAGCCCGCGUUGGAUUAGGUAGUUGGUGGGGUAAAGGCCUACCAAGCCGACGAUCCAUAGCUGGUCUGAGAGGAUGAUCAGCCACACUGGGACUGAGACACGGCCCAGACUCCUACGGGAGGCAGCAGUGGGGAAUAUUGGACAAUGGGCGCAAGCAUGAUCCAGCAAUGCCGCGUGAGUGAUGAAGGCCCUAGGGUUGUAAAGCUCUUUUACCCGGGAAGAUAAUGACUGUACCGGGAGAAUAAGCCCCGGCUAACUCCGUG